UACGUAGGGUGCGAGCGUUAAUCGGAAUUACUGGGCGUAAAGGGCGCGUAGGCGGGAUGGCAAGUCGGUCGUGAAAUCCUUCGGCUCAACCGAAGAACGUCGAUCGAUACUGCUGUUCUUGAGGGUUGCAGAGGAGACUGGAAUUCCCGGUGUAGCGGUGAAAUGUGUAGAGAUCGGGAGGAACACCGGUGGCGAAGGCGGGUCUCUGGGCAAUUCCUGACGCUGAGGCGCGAAAGCGUGGGGAGCAAACGGG
Molecule: ribosomal RNA, 253 nt
Filed under: uncultured bacterium
Lineage: Bacteria
Also listed under: 1 other name
Description: partial 16S ribosomal RNA
Rfam family: Bacterial small subunit ribosomal RNA
Source: RNAcentral